Molecule: ribosomal RNA, 253 nt
Filed under: uncultured bacterium
Lineage: Bacteria
Description: partial 16S ribosomal RNA
Rfam family: Bacterial small subunit ribosomal RNA
Source: RNAcentral
UACAUAGGGCGCAAGCGUUAUCCGGAAUUAUUGGGCGUAAAGAGCUCGUAGGCGGUUUGUCGCGUCUGCCGUGAAAGUCCGGGGCUCAACUCCGGAUCUGCGGUGGGUACGGGCAGACUAGAGUGAUGUAGGGGAGACUGGAAUUCCUGGUGUAGCGGUGAAAUGCGCAGAUAUCAGGAGGAACACCGAUGGCGAAGGCAGGUCUCUGGGCAUUAACUGACGCUGAGGAGCGAAAGCAUGGGGAGCGAACAGG